GGGGAGAUACCAAAGUGGCCAACUGGGGUUGACUGUAACUCAACUGGCGUACGCCUUCGUAGGUUCGAAUCCUGCUCUCCCCA
Molecule: transfer RNA, 83 nt
Filed under: Prolixibacteraceae bacterium
Lineage: Bacteria; Pseudomonadati; Bacteroidota; Bacteroidia; Marinilabiliales; Prolixibacteraceae
Description: tRNA-Tyr
Rfam family: tRNA
About the family: Transfer RNA (tRNA) molecules are approximately 80 nucleotides in length. Their secondary structure includes four short double-helical elements and three loops (D, anti-codon, and T loops).
Source: RNAcentral